GACGAACGCUGGCGGCGUGCUUAACACAUGCAAGUCGAACGGAAAGGCCCUGCUUUUGUGGGGUGCUCGAGUGGCGAACGGGUGAGUAACACGUGAGUAACCUGCCCUUGACUUUGGGAUAACUUCAGGAAACUGGGGCUAAUACCGGAUAGGAGCUCCUGCUGCAUGGUGGGGGUUGGAAAGUUUCGGCGGUUGGGGAUGGACUCGCGGCUUAUCAGCUUGUUGGUGGGGUAGUGGCUUACCAAGGCUUUGACGGGUAGCCGGCCUGAGAGGGUGACCGGCCACAUUGGGACUGAGAGAGGGCCCAGCCUCCUAGGGGGGGAGGCGGGGGGAAAUAUUGCACAGGGGGGGGAAGCCUGAUGCCGCACCCCCGCGUGCGGGAUGAGGGCCUUGGGUUUGUAACCCGCUUCCGCCGGUAACGAAGGGUGAGGGAGGGUAAUGGGUAAAGAAGCCCCGGCUAACUACGUG
Molecule: ribosomal RNA, 468 nt
Filed under: uncultured bacterium
Lineage: Bacteria
Description: partial 16S ribosomal RNA
Rfam family: Bacterial small subunit ribosomal RNA
Source: RNAcentral